This 404-nucleotide ribosomal RNA is filed under the name uncultured prokaryote. RNAcentral's name for it is "bacterial SSU rRNA". It matches the Rfam family "Bacterial small subunit ribosomal RNA", at positions 355 to 774 of the family's 1533-position model. The record is from RNAcentral.
UGAGGAAUCUUCCACAAUGGGCGAAAGCCUGAUGGAGCAACGCCGCGUGCAGGAUGAAGGCCUUAGGGUCGUAAACUGCUUUUAUAAGUGAAGAAUAUGACGGUAACUUAUGAAUAAGCACCGGCUAACUACGUGCCAGCAGCCGCGGUCAUACGUAGGGUGCAAGCAUUAUCCGGAGUGACUGGGCGUAAAGAGUUGCGUAGGUGGUUUGUUAAGUGAAUGGUGAAAUCUGGUGGCUCAACCACACAGACUAUUAUUCAAACUGGCAAACUCGAGAGUAGCAGAGGUAACUGGAAUUUCUAGUGUAGGAGUGAAAUCCGUAGAUAUUAGAAGGAACACCAAUGGCGUAGGCAGGUUACUGGGCUAUUUCUGACACUAAGGCACGAAAGCGUGGGGAGCGAACC